AUACGGAGGGUGCGAGCGUUAAUCGGAAUUACUGGGCGUAAAGCGUACGUAGGCGGUUGGUUAAGUUAGAUGUGAAAGCCCCGGGCUUAACCUGGGAACUGCAUUUAAAACUGGCGAACUAGAGUUGAGUAGAGGGGAGUGGAAUUUCAGGUGUAGCGGUGAAAUGCGUAGAGAACUGAAGGAACACCAGUGGCGAAGGCGACUCCCUGGACUCGAACUGACGCUGAGGUACGAAAGCGUGGGUAACAAACGGGAUUAGAAACCCUAGUAGUCC
This 274-nucleotide ribosomal RNA is filed under the name uncultured bacterium. Its description in RNAcentral is "partial 16S ribosomal RNA". It matches the Rfam family "Bacterial small subunit ribosomal RNA", at positions 523 to 796 of the family's 1533-position model. The record is from RNAcentral.